Molecule: long non-coding RNA, 760 nt
Organism: Tupaia belangeri chinensis (Chinese tree shrew)
Lineage: Eukaryota; Metazoa; Chordata; Mammalia; Scandentia; Tupaiidae
Exons: 3
Source: RefSeq, a predicted model, not a curated record
CCCGCCCCGCAUGGGGAAGCGGAAAGAGCGGGCUCUGGCAUGAGACACCAGUGGGGAGACAACGGCGUGACUGGCCGGGCGCCCCUCCUAGAAAUGGUGGGGCAGGCCUCGGGAGGACCCUCGGUGCCAAGUUCUGGGUUAAUGGCUCUGAUUCUCAGACCAGGCAAACAGAGCCCACCUUCGCGAUAAACUGGACCCAAGCUAUCCAGGAAAGGACGUAGCAACGAAAAGAAAAAGAAAAUGCCCAGGGUGCAUCUGAGCGGUGGGAUGGUAGGAGGCAGGCCGAAAGAAAGGAAUAGCUUGAGGGAAAGCACCAACCAGUUCCUCCCUGCAGCCCCCGCCCAGCACAGUCCUGACAGUCCAUCAAAAAUGACACCGUUCUCUGGCUUCCCCCGAAGCACCGUUACUUCAGUUAAUUCAAGAGAAACUGUAAAUGUCCAUGACGAAAUUCAUCUUUCUCAUCUCUCUAAGAAGUUGGAGUUUGAGUCUAGAACAUUUUAGCUACUAUUUACCUUAAAUCAUUCCCUUGCCUUUAGCAAGCCUGGACAGUCUGGAGUUCUAUUAGAGGCGUACAGUCGACUUGUCUGCGCUACGAAGAUGAAGAUACCAAACAGCAGGAUAUGUAACAAUGAAAACACUCUGGUAUCCUUAUUGGGACAAUGAAGAAAAUUUUUCUCAAGACCAUGCAUUGGAAAAUGAUAAGCCUUAAAUACCAAAGGCAUGAUUUUAAAUCUUGCUGGAUGGAACUGCCACUCACCGC